GUGGAUGCUAGUCUCAUAGAUUAAGCCAUGCAUGUGUAAGCGAAGCGUAAGUGAAGCGGCGCACGGCUCAGUAACGGGCGGCCUUUGAUCUCCCGGCGUGGAUAACCGCUGUAAACGGCGGGCAAAACACAGGAGGUGCGGCUGUUGUGGUCGUGCGUUUAACGCCAGUGCGGGAGAGUAAGGCGCCAUCCCAUCAGUUAGUAAGUAGGGUAUUGGCCUACUUAGACGAAGACGGGUACGGGGAAUUAUCGUUUGAUUCCGGAGAGGGAGCCUGAGAGACGGCUACCAGGUCCAAGGACAGCAGCAGGCGCGAAAUUACCGAAGCCUGCCUCAGGGCGGUAGUAAGGAGACGUUGACUGAUGCGCGUGUAAAGACCGCGCUCGAUACAGGAGGACAAGACUGGUGCCAGCAGCCGCGG
RNAcentral lists this ribosomal RNA (418 nucleotides) under uncultured Microsporidia. Its description in RNAcentral is "partial small subunit ribosomal RNA". It matches the Rfam family "Microsporidia small subunit ribosomal RNA", at positions 23 to 405 of the family's 1311-position model. The record is from RNAcentral. Lineage: Eukaryota; Fungi; Microsporidia.